Molecule: non-coding RNA, 103 nt
Organism: Glycine soja
Lineage: Eukaryota; Viridiplantae; Streptophyta; Magnoliopsida; Fabales; Fabaceae
Source: Rfam
GUCCCUUCGGGGACAUCCAAUAAAAUUGGAACGAUACAUAGAAGAUUAGCAUGGCCCCUGUGCAAGGAUGACAUGCACAAAUCAAGAAAUGGUCCAAAUUUUU